AAACGACUAAAGAUACGGGUGUAUGC
Molecule: small RNA, 26 nt
Filed under: Bombyx mori (domestic silkworm)
Lineage: Eukaryota; Metazoa; Arthropoda; Insecta; Lepidoptera; Bombycidae
Description: ovarian small RNA-9967
Source: RNAcentral